Molecule: non-coding RNA, 29 nt
Filed under: Homo sapiens (human)
Lineage: Eukaryota; Metazoa; Chordata; Mammalia; Primates; Hominidae
Source: RNAcentral
UGCAUCUUGGCGCAGGCCUUUCUGUGGGC